AUUGAACGCUGGCGGCAGGCCUAACACAUGCAAGUCGAACGGUAACAGGAAGCAGCCUGCUGCUUCGCUGACGAGUGGCGGACGGGUGAGUAAUGUCUGGGAAGCUGCCUGAUGGAGGGGGAUAACUACUGGAAACGGUAGCUAAUACCGCAUAAUGUCGCAAGACCAAAGAGGGGGACCUUCGGGCCUCUUGCCAUCGGAUGUGCCCAGAUGGGAUUAGCUUGUUGGUGGGGUAACGGCUCACCAAGGCGACGAUCCCUAGCUGGUCUGAGAGGAUGACCCGCCACCCGGGAACUGAGACACGGCCCAGCCCCCUAGGGGAGGCAGCAGGGGGAAAUUUUGCACAAUGGGCGAAAGCCUGAUGAAGCCAUGCCGGGGUUAUGAAGAAGGCCUUCGGGUUGUAAAGUCUUUUCAGCGGGGAGGAAGGGAGUAAAGUUAAUACCUUUGCUCAUGGACGUGCCCCGCAGAAGAAGCCCCGGCUAAAUCCGG
This 489-nucleotide ribosomal RNA is filed under the name uncultured bacterium. RNAcentral's name for it is "partial 16S ribosomal RNA". It matches the Rfam family "Bacterial small subunit ribosomal RNA", at positions 30 to 506 of the family's 1533-position model. The record is from RNAcentral.